GGUUUCGUGGUCUAGUUGGUUAUGAUUUUUCGCUAACACCGAAAAGAUCCCCGGUUCGAGCCCGGGCGGAACCA
RNAcentral lists this transfer RNA (74 nucleotides) under Conoideocrella luteorostrata. Its description in RNAcentral is "tRNA-Val". Lineage: Eukaryota; Fungi; Ascomycota; Sordariomycetes; Hypocreales; Clavicipitaceae. The record is from RNAcentral.